GAUGAACGCUAGCUACAGGCUUAACACAUGCAAGUCGAACGAGCGAGAGAGAGCUUGCUUUCUCGAGCGAGUGGCGAACGGGUGAGUAACGCGUGAGGAACCUGCCUCAAAGAGGGGGACAACAGUUGGAAACGACUGCUAAUACCGCAUAAGCCCACGACCCGGCAUCGGGUAGAGGGAAAAGGAGCAAUCCGCUUUGAGAUGGCCUCGCGUCCGAUUAGCUAGUUGGUGAGGUAACGGCCCACCAAGGCGACGAUCGGUAGCCGGACUGAGAGGUUGAACGGCCACAUUGGGACUGAGACACGGCCCAGACUCCUACGGGAGGCAGCAGUGGGGAAUAUUGCACAAUGGGGGAAACCCUGAUGCAGCGACGCCGCGUGGAGGAAGAAGGUCUUCGGAUUGUAAACUCCUGUUGUUGAGGAAGAUAAUGACGGUACUCAACAAGGAAGUGACGGCUAACUACGUGCCAGCAGCCG
Molecule: ribosomal RNA, 476 nt
Filed under: uncultured bacterium
Lineage: Bacteria
Description: bacterial SSU rRNA
Rfam family: Bacterial small subunit ribosomal RNA
Source: RNAcentral